This 398-nucleotide long non-coding RNA is filed under the name Manihot esculenta (cassava). RNAcentral describes it as "long non-coding RNA (MESC_LNC000921)". Lineage: Eukaryota; Viridiplantae; Streptophyta; Magnoliopsida; Malpighiales; Euphorbiaceae. The record is from RNAcentral.
GGGUUCCAGGCAGGAUUUGUCCCUCGGGGGAGCCAUUACGGCCCGCCCUAGCCCGAGUGGAUUUGGCCCAAUUCCUUCCUCUGGGAAUUAGGUCGCCUCCCCCACUGCUCGAACCCUUGACCUCCCACUUUAAGGGAAUAGUCUGGCGAGAGUGAGUACCAAUUGUCCCAGAGGCGACCUAAUUCCCAGAGGAAGGAAUUGGGCCAAAUCCACUCGGGCUAGGGCGGGCCGUAAUGGCUCCCCCGAGGGACAAAUCCUGCCUGGAACCCGUGAGGGUGAAGGGAUGUUAAGAGCUGUUCAUACGCCAGUGGAAAGCCCGAGGUGGCAAGAGGCCAGGCGAGGGAUAGCCCUGGGUGUGAACGGUAACAGGGCCGGUCGAAAGGGGCCGGGCUGUUACA